UGGCUCAGGAUGAACGCUGGCGGCGUGCCUAACACAUGCAAGUCGGACGUGAGGGGUGUCUACGGAUGCCCUGAAAGUGGCGAACGGGUGAGUAACACGUAGAUAACCUGCCCUGGAGUGGGGGAUAACCACUGGAAACGGUGGCUAAUACCGCAUGAGCCCUGAAAGUCGGGAGGCUUUUGGGGGAAAGCUCCGGCGCUCCAGGAGGGGUCUGCGUCCGAUUAGCUAGUUGGCGGGGUAACGGCCCACCAAGGCGACGAUCGGUAGCUGGUCUGAGAGGACGAUCAGCCACACGGGAACUGAGACACGGUCCCGACUCCUACGGGGGGCAGCAGUGAGGAAUAUUGGGCAAUGGGCGCAAGCCUGACCCAGCAACGCCGCGUGGAGGAAGAAGGGCCUUCGGGGUUGUAAACUCCUUUUGCAGGGGGAAGAGAGAGGGACGGGUACCCUGCGAAUCAGUCACGGGCUAACUACGUGCCAGCAGCCGCGGGUAAG
Molecule: ribosomal RNA, 495 nt
Filed under: uncultured Caldilinea sp.
Lineage: Bacteria; Bacillati; Chloroflexota; Caldilineae; Caldilineales; Caldilineaceae
Description: bacterial SSU rRNA
Rfam family: Bacterial small subunit ribosomal RNA
Source: RNAcentral